AGAGUUUGAUCCUGGCUCAGGACGAACGCUGGCGGCACGCUUAACACAUGCAAGUCGAACGAGAGAAGAGGAGCUUGCUUUUCUGAUCUAGUGGCGGACGGGUGAGUAACACGUGAGCAAUCUGCCUUUCAGAGGGGGAUACCGAUUGGAAACGAUCGUUAAUACCGCAUAACAUAAUUGAACCGCAUGAUUUGAUUAUCAAAGAUUUAUCGCUGAAAGAUGAGCUCGCGUCUGAUUAGCUAGUUGGUAAGGUAACGGCUUACCAAGGCGACGAUCAGUAGCCGGACUGAGAGGUUGAUCGGCACAUUGGGACUGAGACACGGCCCAGACUCCUACGGGAGGCAGCAGUGGGGAAUAUUGCACAAUGGAGGAAACUCUGAUGCAGCGAUGCCGCGUGAGGGAAGAAGGUUUUAGGAUUGUAAACCUCUGUCUUCAGGGACGAAAAAAGACGGUACCUGAGGAGGAAGCUCCGGCUAACUACGUGCCAGCAGCCGCGGUAAUACGUAGGGAGCGAGCGUUGUCCGGAAUUACUGGGUGUAAAGGGAGCGUAGGCGGGAUCGCAAGUCAGAUGUGAAAACUAUGGGCUUAACCCAUAAACUGCAUUUGAAACUGUGGUUCUUGAGUGAAGUAGAGGUAAGCGGGAUUCCUAGUGUAGCGGUGAAAUGCGUAGAUAUUAGGAGGAACAUCAGUGGCGAAGGCGGCUUACUGGGCUUUAACUGACGCUGAGGCUCGAAAGCGUGGGGAGCAAACAGGAUUAGAUACCCUGGUAGUCCACGCCGUAAACGAUGAUUACUAGGUGUGGGGGGACUGACCCCUUCCGUGCCGCAGCAAACGCAAUAAGUAAUCCACCUGGGGAGUACGACCGCAAGGUUGAAACUCAAAGGAAUUGACGGGGGCCCGCACAAGCAGUGGAGUAUGUGGAUUAAUUCGAAGCAACGCGAAGAACCUUACCAGGUCUUGACAUCGUAUGCAUAGCUCAGAGAUGAGUGAAAUCUCUUCGGAGACAUAUAGACAGGUGGUGCAUGGUUGUCGUCAGCUCGUGUCGUGAGAUGUUGGGUUAAGUCCCGCAACGAGCGCAACCCUUACUGUUAGUUGCUACGCAAGAGCACUCUAGCAGGACUGCCGUUGACAAAACGGAGGAAGGUGGGGAUGACGUCAAAUCAUCAUGCCCCUUAUGACCUGGGCCUCACACGUACUACAAUGGCUGUCGACAGAGGGAAGCAAAGCCGCGAGGUGGAGCGAACCCCUAAAAGCAGUCUUAGUUCGGAUUGUAGGCUGCAACCCGCCUACAUGAAGUCGGAAUUGCUAGUAAUCGCAGAUCAGCAUGCUGCGGUGAAUACGUUCCCGGGCCUUGUACACACCGCCCGUCACGCCAUGGGAGUCGGUAACACCCGAAGCCUGUAGUCUAACCGCAAGGAGGACGCAGUCGAAGGUGGGAUUGAUGACUGGGGUGAAGUCGUAACAAGGUA
Molecule: ribosomal RNA, 1469 nt
Filed under: metagenome
Description: bacterial SSU rRNA
Rfam family: Bacterial small subunit ribosomal RNA
Source: RNAcentral